AUUGAACGCUGGCGGCAUGCCUUACACAUGCAAGUCGAACGGUAACAGGUCUUCUGAUGCUGACGAGUGGCGGACGGGUGGGUAAUACAUCGGAACGUGCCCGACCGUGGGGGAUAACGAAGCGAAAGCUUUUCUAAUACCUCAUAAGAUCUACGGAUGAAAGCAGGGGACCGCAAGGCCUUGCUCGAACGGAGCGGCCGAUGGCAGAUUAGGUAGCUGGUGGGAUAAAAGCUUACCAAGCCGACGAUCUGUAGCUGGUCUGAGGGGAAGACCAGCCACACUUGGACUGGGGAACGGCCCAGACCCCUUCGGGAGGCAGCAGUGGGGAAAUUUGGAAAAUGGGGGAAAGCCUGGUCCCGGCAUGCCGCGUGGAGGAAGAAGGCCUUCGGGUUGGAAACUGCUUUUGUGCGGAAAAAAAAGACUCUGGUUAAUACCUGGGGUGCAUGACGGUACCGUAAGAAUAAGCACCGGCUAACUACGUG
This 482-nucleotide ribosomal RNA is filed under the name uncultured bacterium. RNAcentral describes it as "partial 16S ribosomal RNA". It matches the Rfam family "Bacterial small subunit ribosomal RNA", at positions 30 to 507 of the family's 1533-position model. The record is from RNAcentral.